This 464-nucleotide ribosomal RNA is filed under the name uncultured Methanomicrobiales archaeon. Its description in RNAcentral is "bacterial SSU rRNA". It matches the Rfam family "Archaeal small subunit ribosomal RNA", at positions 875 to 1338 of the family's 1478-position model. Lineage: Archaea; Methanobacteriati; Methanobacteriota; Methanomicrobia; Methanomicrobiales. The record is from RNAcentral.
AGCACCACAACAGGUGGAGCCUGCGGUUUAAUCGGACUCAACGCCGGGAAACUCACCAGAUAAGACAGCUGAAUGAUAGUCGGGCUGAAGACUCUACUUGACUAGCUGAGAGGAGGUGCAUGGCCGUCGUCAGUUCGUACUGUGAAGCAUCCUGUUAAGUCAGGCAACGAGCGAGACCCACGCCAACAGUUGCCAGCUCGUCCUCCGGGAUGGUGGGGACACUGUUGGGACCGCCUCUGCUAAAGAGGAGGAAGGAAUGGGCAACGGUAGGUCAGCAUGCCCCGAAUUAUCUGGGCUACACGCGGGCUACAAUGGGUGGGACAAUGGGUAUCGACACCGAAAGGUGAAGGCAAUCUCCUAAACCCAUCUGUAGUUCGGAUUGUGGGCUGCAACUCGCCCACAUGAAGCUGGAAUCUGUAGUAAUCGUGUCUCAAAAUGGCACGGUGAAUAUGUCCCUGCUCCUU